This 492-nucleotide long non-coding RNA is filed under the name Chrysolophus pictus (golden pheasant). RNAcentral's name for it is "lncRNA (ENSCPIG00010001377.1)". Lineage: Eukaryota; Metazoa; Chordata; Aves; Galliformes; Phasianidae. The record is from RNAcentral.
AUGUCACAUAGCUGCCCUGGCACUGUUCAGCCAGGAAAAAUCCAUGGGACUUCACCUGCAGGGGAAAGUUUUAGCCAAACCAUCACUUCUGCCAAAAGAAUGAGGAAUUCCUUGAGGAUUAUUCCAAAAUCUUUGGGAACGAUGGAAAUUCUGUUGAUUGCAGUCUGUGCUUUCCAUUACGGAAGACAUUUGUGCUACAAGUUUGCUGAGGAUGGAACACUAAUGAAAUGGGUAAUUUUAUAAACGCACUGGGGAGGGCCACCACCAGUGCUUGUCAUUCCUGAUCUGCAACAUCACCUGCUGCUCCAGACCAGAAAAGGGAGCAAAGAAGAGAAAUACGUGUUUAUCAUUGAACUGAACUGAAAAGAAGGAAGACGAGAACGAUAAGAUCAUUGCCUGCAGCACUUUGUUUAUGAGAACAUCCUUCCAGUGAUAUAUGCCUGCACCAGGUGAAAGUAUUGUGUCACCCCUAACAUAUUUUAAAUGCCAGGG